CUUUGGGGUAGUUAGAAGUGCAGAU
This 25-nucleotide non-coding RNA is filed under the name Cricetulus griseus (Chinese hamster). The record is from RNAcentral. Lineage: Eukaryota; Metazoa; Chordata; Mammalia; Rodentia; Cricetidae.